Molecule: unclassified non-coding RNA, 258 nt
Filed under: Hevea brasiliensis (rubber tree)
Lineage: Eukaryota; Viridiplantae; Streptophyta; Magnoliopsida; Malpighiales; Euphorbiaceae
Source: RNAcentral
UUUACUUAAGAAGGAUAGGUAAAUCAUGCAUUUAUGAAAUCUUUAACCUCAGUUCGGCAUAUUUUUCAUUUCUCAAUGAUAAGUAUUUUUGGCAUUCACGUAUGCUCAAAUGGCUUGUUAAUUUGCAAUUUUAUGUGGAGCGGACCGAGCAGUUGAUUUUCUCAUUUUCCCAUGCUUCAAAUCUUAACUUGCAGGUAUCUGGAUCGUCGCAAGAGGCUUAUAAUAGCCAUGGAUGCUGCAUUUGGAAUGGAGUAUCUG